This 2531-nucleotide unclassified non-coding RNA is filed under the name Apis florea (little honeybee). RNAcentral's name for it is "basement membrane-specific heparan sulfate proteoglycan core protein-like, transcript variant X1". Lineage: Eukaryota; Metazoa; Arthropoda; Insecta; Hymenoptera; Apidae. The record is from RNAcentral.
GGCAAGCUCUUUUAGUCGCGGACAAGCCGCCAUGCGAGGAUAACAUCGGAUGUGUAAUAUCGUGAUAGAAGUUCGUUCAACGUUACAACACGUCAAUCACUAACAUACAGAUUAUCUAAUUCAGUGGUACAGGAAGGAAUAAAAAAAAGAGUUGAUCAAACGUUCAAAAAUUGCACGAAGCAAAUGAAGCAGUGGAGACAAGACAGGCAGAUUAACAGGCGAUUAAUGCGCUCUAUGACGCCUGUUUAAUGGCCCAUGGUCGAAUCGUGUGAUACACGCGAACGAGUGCACGAUUUCCCUCAGAGCUUGAAUUAAAUGGAUAGACAGGAAGAAUCCAUUUGUACGUCCAUUUGUAUCAAUUGCUUGUGCCAACGUUCAAGCGACGGAAACAAGAGCUCCAGGGAAAAAAAUAUCGAGAAGUGUUUGAUACUUAGUGACGUGUUCUUUUCUUUUCUUUCUUAAGUGUUUUCAUCAAUAUUUGAGAAUUUCAUAAAGUGAUUGUCGAUUUUUCGCGUAUACUUGGAACGAGUGAUCCGGUUUCUCGUAAUUCUCAGUUCGAGAAAAACGUGAGCCAGAGUCGGUCAAUCUUUCCGGAAGCUUUUCCAACGAAGGAAAAGGAACGAAACAACUGUAUCGAAUUACGAACAGAAAGAACUCUCAUCGAAGAAUAUAGUAGUGAAAGCAUGUGGUUUUCGCGCGUAAAAGAAUUUAAUCCUCAAGAGACCAAUUUCCCGCGAUAUUAAAACACCAGGGGAUCGAAAUUACAGCCAGUGCUAAGGUAAAACCUUACAAAUGGAUUCGACGAAUCGAUAAUGCACGAUUGUAAAUCCUGGUUCGGAGCAAACCACGUGUCUGAUGAAUAAUACAAUUCCUUCAGUUGCAUUCAAUUCUCGUCUUUUUGGUCACCAAGGGAAAAGUACCGAAUAGAAUCGUAAAAUCCUUAUCGAUUGACACUAUUACGCAUCUUCGCAUCACGACAUCGUGAACGAUAAGGAAAUAGUGAUCGCGACGUUUCUGUUCACGCGAAGAGUGAAUCUUACAUGAAUGUAAUACAGUGUGAUCAUUAUUAAGUGAUUAAUAAAUUGAGCGAGAAGCAAUUGUGAUUAGUUAUGAUUUUAGGCAGUGAUUUGUAUACGAAAAAAAAAAAUAAGUUAGGAAAACAGCAUGAAAGUGAUGUGGGUGUAUUUAUAUUCUGAUUUCGUAUUUUAUCAUUUUUGUGAAUAACUGAAAAAGUGUGUCUGCGACGUUUCAUCGAGACCCUUCUUUCCGAGAGAAGAAGGAUAAACGUACGAAACGGAAGGAAAGAAAGUAACAGUAUGAAGAACCGUCGUGGAAAAUGGCUCUACGCUGUAUUCGCAUUGAUCACGUUCCUUCCUCAGCAGAUCGAAUGCACAGCGAAGAGCGGAGGAUCGGUAGUAGAGCAUCAUCCAUCUUCUUACUGGGAGCAACCCUUUAGUCAGCCUUAUUUCGACAAUACGACAAAAAGGGAAACCACGACGACCGUCGGCCAAACCGCUUUUCUUCACUGCAGAGUGCGCAAUCUUGGUGAUCGUGCUGUUUCAUGGAUCAGGAAACGAGACUUGCAUAUUCUUACCGUAGGAAUCUUAACGUAUACAAAUGAUCAACGUUUCCAAUCAUUACACCGAGAUGGGUCUGACGAAUGGACUUUAAGGAUUAGUUCACCACAAGUUCGAGAUAGCGGAACAUACGAAUGUCAAGUCUCAACUGAAUCGAAAAUCAGUCAGGCUUUUAACUUGAGUGUCGUAGUGUCAAAGGCGAAGAUCAAUGGUAACUCAGAACUAUACAUCAAGAGUGGAAGCGAUAUCAAUCUGACCUGUAUAGUAUUGCAGACUCCUGAACCACCGUCCUUCAUUUAUUGGUAUAAAGAUGAUCACGUGAUAAAUUACAGUCAAAGAGGAGGUAUCAAUGUAGUAACUGAAAAACAAACACGAACGUCGCGUCUCUUGAUAUCCAGGGCGUUACCUGCUGAUUCUGGAAAUUAUACAUGUGCUCCGUCUACAGCCGAGUCAGCCAGUGUUCUAGUCCACGUACUCAAUGGUGGGAGAACAUCCAGCAGCCAUGCAACACGGAAACUCGAGUAAUAGCGGUGCGGCAACGAGAACGCUCGCUUUGCUCCUGUUGCUUCUGCACGCCGGUUCAUUUGCAAGAAGGAAGAUCGGAUAUAAAUGAGUCAGCCAAAAUCUCGAGAAAAGGACUCGACAACAUGUAAAUGGGUGUUUAGUAUGAUACAGUUAGACUCGACGCGAUCCACGGAACACUUAGCGUCAGCGAUAAUCAAGGAUUUGCGCGCCGCUCGUUAUCGUAAUUAACGAGUACACCGAGUUUCUGCCAAGUUGGAUGACUGCCACGUUUCUUCGAUAACGUUCCUUGUUGUUCAUGUGUUGUGAAACGAAAUGAAACGCUCAUUCUUCAAAUUAUUUAAAAACUAUACACAUUUUAGUUUAAGGAGCGCGACAAACAAAAUAGCAAUACAGAGAGUUCUGUGUUCGACGAACAUAUCCAAAAAAAAA